GACGAACGCUGGCGGCGUGCUUAACACAUGCAAGUCGAGCGGUAAGGCCUUUCGGGGUACACGAGCGGCGAACGGGUGAGUAACACGUGGGUGAUCUGCCCUGCACUCUGGGAUAAGCCUGGGAAACUGGGUCUAAUACUGGAUAUGACCUCAGCAUGCAUGUGCUGGGGGGGAAAGCUUUUGUGGUGCAGGAUGGGCCCGCGGCCUAUCAGCUUGUUGGUGGGGUAAUGGCCUACCAAGGCGACGACGGGUAGCCGACCUGAGAGGGUGACCGGCCACACUGGGACUGAGACACGGCCCAGACUCCUACGGGAGGCAGCAGUGGGGAAUAUUGCACAAUGGGCGGAAGCCUGAUGCAGCGACGCCGCGUGAGGGAUGAAGGCCUUCGGGUUGUAAACCUCUUUCAGCAGGGACGAAGCGUGAGUGACGGUACCUGCAGAAGAAGCACCGGCUAACUACGUGCCAGCAGCCGCAGUAA
Molecule: ribosomal RNA, 478 nt
Filed under: uncultured bacterium
Lineage: Bacteria
Description: partial 16S ribosomal RNA
Rfam family: Bacterial small subunit ribosomal RNA
Source: RNAcentral